CACAAAGGAAGGGCCAGUAAGUCGGGAGCAGGGAGGAGCAGAGGCCUUGGCUCUGCCUACUUCGGGUUGUUGUUUUUAAAAAGGUGAGUCACUUUACCCCCCCAAAAGCAAGGAGAAAUCCACAUGAAAAAUCUAAAACGCUGACAUUUAACUCCUAAACAACAAAAUCUACGCAGUCCAAUCAAAACUGCCACGGACCGUGUAGCUUUCACACAAUAGGAACAGCCCGCAUCACGUCCACGGACACUACUGCAUUUGGGAAACAUUCUCUUCAAAAAAAGGCUCCCCAUUAGAAAGUGUUCGUUACUUGUAUCGAUGCUUUUAAUGAUCUCCCAACAGACCAGACCCCAGGCGAGCUAGCUGUGUGCUCUCGGGGCUGGAGCUGUGGGACCAGACCGCGGCGGCAGCAGGGGGAGAGCUGAGCCGGCGAAGACGGCCCUUAGGCCCGGGCGCACGAGCUGCCGAGCGCGCGAGGACACGCCGGCACUAAGCCACCCACAGAACAUGCGGUUCUUACGCAAACGCGAGUCCGGGGUUGCGAGUGCUGGUGGAGGCCAGGGCCACCAAGACGCAUCCCACAGUGCAGAGGCUAGGCCCCAGGGGACAAUGAUCUGGCCGAAACUGGGCAGCGGCACAACUGCGAGGACCGCAGACUUGGUGCAGGGAGACUCCGGUGGUUUCCCCAUCUCUCCUCCCCUCCCCCCCGGGGGAGCCCUCCAGCCGAGGCCGGUGCCAUUCUGCU
Molecule: non-coding RNA, 742 nt
Organism: Callorhinus ursinus (northern fur seal)
Lineage: Eukaryota; Metazoa; Chordata; Mammalia; Carnivora; Otariidae
Source: RefSeq, a predicted model, not a curated record